Molecule: long non-coding RNA, 1790 nt
Organism: Papaver somniferum (opium poppy)
Lineage: Eukaryota; Viridiplantae; Streptophyta; Magnoliopsida; Ranunculales; Papaveraceae
Exons: 2
Source: RefSeq, a predicted model, not a curated record
AAACCGUCACUUGAUUAAACCGUAUUCAGUAGAUCCGGGAGGCUUGACCCGUAAGGAUCUUGACGUUACUAUCACCAUCAUCUUGUUAAGAAUAGCUAGGUUCAUAACAAUUUGUAUCAUCCAGAAAAUUUUGUGCCUACUCUGCAGUGGGGGAUUUGUUUGCUCAAUUGGAGGUAAUUAGGCUUGUAGAGAAGAGAUUAUUUUACCCGCAGAUGGAGAAAAUAAGGGUGUUGUGGGAUAGAAGCUUACCAGAUCGUGAACAUGUUCUUCAUCAAAUGGAUCUUCUCGUUUUCACCACAAAAAACCAGUUGGACUCACUCAACAAAUCUACUGCAUGAACUCGGCUUCAGCCAUCUGAAGAACAAGUAGUUGAAAAAGCUGAGAUUAUUGACGAGAUUGUCAACAAAGAAUCGGUAAUAGAUUUAAUUACUUCAGAGAAAGUGAUUGAUUUAACCCCAAGUCCCUUCACUUAUAUCAGAAGUAACAGAAGAUGAUUCUCUUGAUCUCGAGUUAAUUCCUUCCUUUUUCUUCAAGGGAAAAAAACACUCCAACAACGUUUAACCCACAUGAGGGAAAACCCCCUCCUAAUUUGAGUUAUUUAACUUGUAUUAGGGGUUCUCCAACUGAAAUUGUUGUCACUAAAAUGAUAAGAAGCUUCAACAGCCAUAACCAGCACAUAAUUGAGGUUAGUUGUGGGAGUGUUGAACUCUUAAAGGAGCUAAUUAUUGGUCACAAAAAUCCAAGUGGUAGUGAGGGUUUACAUUGAAGUUCUCGUGCAACCGAAAUUGGGUAUGGACCUGAUUGAAAAGCCUGCAACAACUCAACCACAAGGAGGUCAGUUAUACGAUCUACCUAGCAGGAGGAGAAGAUUGUGUGCUCAACACAUUAUUUUCCUCUUUGUCAGAUUUUUUGGUGUUGUAGCAUUUCAUAAUUACAGUAGGGGUACCCUUAGGGAUAUCAAGCUAAGAAUUAGAGAUUUGUACAUUGAAGAUUGUAUUUCAAAAGGGCAAGUAAAUGUUAGGUUCACUGAGGAUGAAGGAGUUUUCUAUGUUGGAUCAUGGAAAGUCAUGGGAACGAUCAAUACAACUGUUCUGCACUAUAACCUGAUUAAUCACACCUUGGAUAAUGUUUGUCGAUGCUUGCCUUGUUGUCAGUUGUUGGGCUUCUUACUUCGACAAAAAUGGCGUUCUAAAGAACUGUUAUUCUUUGGAAGGAAAGUGGAAUUGUACACACAGGUCCACUCAUCUCACAAACAUACAUCUACAACUAAUAGCACUACGAACCGAAGAGAUGGAUACGCUAAAGUAAAAGGGAGGGCAGGCCUGCGACUACGACCAUAUAUAGAUCCCAUUGGAGCUGAAGAAGAGCCAUCAACUUGCAUUCAUGAGAGUCAAUUUGUGGCGUUGGGUAAAUAGCUAUGUCAGCCAGCUACAAGGUGUAACAGUUGUAUUUCAAGAUGCAACCUGGAAGGACUCUCCAUCAGACUUGUUUGUUUUCAUGUCAUCCAUCCUUGAGGACAAGGAUGUUCUGAAAGGGACGGUAUUUGUUAUGCCCCAAGCCUAAGAUGAGGGUGCCCAUAUCAAUUCGAUGAAACUAUUUAGCAUAAUCUUUAGUUGGUAGCCUUUGACCAAAUUGUCUUUGUCGUUUAAAAUGAAGGGGUUAGGUGUAAACAUUUAGUGGCAUUAUAGCCGUUAGAUCUUGGGUAGUUUAUUUGAGUAAGAUUUAUAACAACCUAGAGUCUGUAUGAAGGAUCUUAUCAAAUUCUUAAUCAAAUCAUUCAAUCGAUUAAA